UCGACCUCCUUAUCCUCUCCAUGUAAGUGUCUUUUUUUUCAAUGUAAGGCUCAGAAAUCAGUCGCAUCGUGCCGAAUGCUCAUCAAUCCGUCGAAACUGUACUUAAAGUGAGGCGUCUGUGCAGGUUUUCGAGUUUUAUUUUAUUUUAUUUUAUUUUUAUUAUAUUAUAUUUUUACUAGAGAUUAGCACUUGAAAUUCGCCGAGAAGUCGAAGCAGAAGGAGGAGAAGAAGAAGGGAUUUGAGUAACAGCGACAAUGACAAUGAUCGGAGCUACUGCCGGAGGACGUGCAGUGCUGGGAGAUCAGGCGCGGGCACGCUGUUUCGGCUUCAGACCUUCGUGGAUUUGUUACGCUGCAGUGUGUUCAACAAUUCGGGUGCACGAUGCCCUCCCUUUCGCUGCCCGUUUCGAAUCGAUCCAUGUACAAGGGAAUUGUGAAGCAGAGAUCGUUGUUUGCAACCUGAGCUAGCAAUGCAGGGGAUCCAUUGAGACGGCCUACUGCUCCUCGUUCCGUGCCAUCUACUGCUACGCCAAAUGAGCCACAUUACCGCCAAAUGUUCAUUAGCAUUGACGACUGUUGGAAUGGGAGUCAUGAAUCGUGAGGUGGUCACUGUUUGGUAUUGCCGUAGGCUUACUAACUGAAUAUGCAACUGGGGCCAACUUCGUGGAGCAGCUAAAAAUCAUUGUUUCCAAUUUGGGCAUUGCCGAGCUUGAUUAGGGUCAAUGUGCAGUACUGCUUUUCUCGAAGGGAAAUCUGCGAGAAUUUUCACUGUAUACCGUCAGCUAUGAUCAGAAUGGUGAUACUUCACUUCCAACACCAAUCCAGCAAACACAAACGAAUCCACUGACUUAUGAACCGCAGCUGGGGAUUGGAACAACACCCAAUACUUUUACAACUUGCGCCAGAAACAAGUACUCUCAAAACUGA
Non-coding RNA from Physcomitrium patens, 926 nucleotides. The record is from RefSeq and is a predicted model, not a curated record. NCBI's taxonomy places the organism in Eukaryota, Viridiplantae, Streptophyta, Bryopsida, Funariales, Funariaceae.